ACGCUGGCGGCACGCCUAACACAUGCAAGUCGAACGAAGUAGCAAUACUUAGUGGCAGACGGGUGAGUAACAUGUAGGUAUCUGCCCUUUGGCCUGGAAUAACACGAGGAAACUUGUGCUAAUACUGGAUAAGUCUUUACGGAGAAAGCUUUAUGCACCAUUGGAUGAGCCUGCACUUGAUUAGUUUGUUGGUGGGGUAAUGGCCUACCAAGACUGUGAUCAAUAGCUGAUUUGAGAGGAUGAUCAGCCACAUUGGGACUGAGACACGGCCCAAACUCCUACGGGAGGCAGCAGUGGGGAAUCUUGCACAAUGGAGGAAACUCUGAUGCAGCGAUGCCGCGUGAGUGAAGAAGGCCUUUGGGUUGUAAAGCUCUUUCGUCGGGGAAGAAAAUGACUGUACCCGAAUAAGAAGGUCCGGCUAACUUCGUGCCAGCAGCCGCGGUAAUACGAAGGGACCUAGCGUAGUUCGGAAUUACUGGGCUUAAAGAGUUCGUAGGUGGUUGAAAAAGUUGGUGGUGAAAUCCCAGAGCUUAACUCUGGAACUGCCAUCAAAACUUUUCAGCUAGAGUAUGAUAGAGGAAAGCAGAAUUUCUAGUGUAGAGGUGAAAUUCGUAGAUAUUAGAAAGAAUACCAAUUGCGAAAGCAGCUUUCUGGAUCAUUACUGACACUGAGGAACGAAAGCAUGGGUAGCGAAGAGGAUUAGAUACCCUCGUAGUCCAUGCCGUAAACGAUGUGUGUUAGACGUUGGAAAUUUAUUUUCAGUGUCGCAGCGAAAGCGAUAAACACACCGCCUGGGGAGUACGACCGCAAGGUUAAAACUCAAAUGAAUUGACGGGGACCCGCACAAGUAGUGGAGCAUGUGGUUUAAUUCGAAGAUACGCGCAGAACCUUACCAACACUUGACAUGUUCGUCGCGACUUUAAGAGAUUAAAGUUUUCGGUUCGGCCGGACGAAACACAGGUGCUGCAUGGCUGUCGUCAGCUCGUGUCGUGAGAUGUUGGGUUAAGUCCCGCAACGAGCGCAACCCUCACUUUUAGUUGCCAUCAUUAAGUUGGGCACUCUGAAAGAACUGCCAGUGAUAAGCUGGAGGAAGGUGGGGAUGACGUCAAGUCCUCAUGGCCCUUACGUGUUGGGCUACACACGUGCUACAAUGGUAUCUACAACAGGAAGCAAAACUGCGAAGCUAAGCAAAUCCUUAAAAGAUACCUCAGUUCGGAUUGCACUCUGCAACUCGAGUGCAUGAAGCUGGAAUUACUAGUAAUCGUGGAUCAGCGUGCCACGGUGAAUGCGUUCCCGGGUCUUGUACACACCGCCCGUCACACCAUGGGAGUUGGUUCUACCUUAAGGCAAGGUUUCAAACCCUUGACCACGGUAUAGUCAGCGACUGGGGUGA
RNAcentral lists this ribosomal RNA (1393 nucleotides) under uncultured bacterium. RNAcentral's name for it is "16S ribosomal RNA". It matches the Rfam family "Bacterial small subunit ribosomal RNA". The record is from RNAcentral.